Ornithorhynchus anatinus (platypus) is the source of this 4226-nucleotide long non-coding RNA. RefSeq lists it as uncharacterized. The transcript has 2 exons. NCBI's taxonomy places the organism in Eukaryota, Metazoa, Chordata, Mammalia, Monotremata, Ornithorhynchidae. The record is from RefSeq and is a predicted model, not a curated record.
UUAGAACAGUGCUUGGCACAUAGCAAGCGUUUAGCAAAUACCAUUAUUAUUAGAGGAGGCUGAGGGAGUAUGCAAAACCCAGUAGGUGUUUAAUGGACCAGUAGAAUCAGACCAGAAGGUGGAUAUCCAGAUAACUUGAAGAUGUUCGAGAAAACCCAAAGGUGAUAAUUUUCUUUUUACUUCUAUGUUGGAACUUGCUUUUGCAUGGUAAAUUAGGAAAACCCCUACAGCUGAAUAUAAUUUGAUUUCCAAAGUUUGGUGGUUACCUUUAAUCUGAAUUUUUACAUAUCCAACUAUUUAGUAACUGUUCUAGGAAAAAAAAUCACUUGAAUACUAACAAUCUGCCCAGUGCCUAAGGACCCUCACACUUUUUCCAGUCUUUUUUACCCCGAUCACUUUUUCUUUUUUCCCUGGUCCCUCUCUUCUGCUCUUCUAUUUCCUGGCAGUGAACAGUCUGCAGCAGCAGCUUUGGGGAGCCCCAGGUGUUCCUGAAGAAAAAGGAGAUGCAGCUAAGAAAGAUGACUCAUUGGACAAUGGGGCACCAUAAAGACGGGCAUAGCCAGGCUCCUGGUAGCUGGAGGGAGCCACAUUGGCAAGGGUGUGAACAAGACAUAGCUUUCUGGUUUGGAGAACGGUUUGCCUGACACUUUUACUCCUGCAACCUUCUCCAACUACUCAAAAGUGGCGGGGCAGGCAGCCACAGGCUCUCUCCUCUGUCAGGAACCAUACAGAGCAGCAGCAGGCUGCUGGUAUUGCCCGAAUCUCGUGAGUUAUUUCACCAGCUCCCUUUCUGUGGUGCCUUUGGGGUGGUUUGGCCCAACCUAAAUAGGUUUUGUUUCUUUUGAGCCAGUUAAUUUUCCUCAGUAUAAUGAAACCUAAACUCAGUCAUACAAAUGGGUAGGAGAUAUGUUUCAAACUGGUUUAAUACUCUAGUCAAGAAGCAACCCAACUGGGACCCUAUUGAGUGCCAAAUAACCCUGUUGUAGAUGAUGCCAUAGGUGGUGACUGACUAAGUGGGUGAAAUAGGGGAAGCAGGCAUGAAUUUGUCUCCCUCAGGCCAGCCCCACUUCUCACAUUAGUGGGGCAUCAGCGACAAUGGGGUAUUGAUGGUCUGCCCUCCCAACCCUAAUCUUGUUGCAGUGGUUGACCUUCUGUUAUAGAAGAGUUUCCUCCUCUUCCUUCCCUGCCAAGGAAAAUGAAGAGUACAUGGUUUCCCAAACCCAGGCCAUUCACCCCUUCUACCCAGUCCCCAGCUACCUCCUUACCUGCUGCCUUCAAAAUGACCAGUGAUUUUUUUGCGGGGGGAGGUGUGGUCGGAGGGGGGGGUGGGGGAAUGUCGGCAUUUCUGUCCAUCGUUGGCAUGUAUUUGCAUGUUUUUGUCACCUGUGCACAGCAUCUCUUUGGGUUGCAUGUGCAUAUAUGCAUGUAGUUAAGGUAGAAGAUACCUCUACUAUGUCUCUCCAGGGUUACAAAGUAAGACAACAUGCAGCCUGGAGGGGACCUUCUCAUGAAUUACCCAGCGGAUUUGACUGCCUUGGUUUUCUGCUUCCCUUUGGCUAUGGAGAUGUGGCCCGCGUGUAUUGGUAACAACUUCGUUCCAUGUCAUAUUGACCGCACUUAUGAAAUAGCACCCUGAGGUAGACUGAAACACCAAGAAAACAUCAUUUUAAUUUUUACAUUUAAAUGAAGUUGUGAAGAAAGAAUUACUCUUUCAUGUGGCCAGUGAGUUGGUGGGCUGCUCAAAUUCUUCUAAAUGUAAGAGCCACUUAGUGAGGGCACUAGAUCAGCCAUUUGGAGAAAAUCUGUCUUUGGAAUGUCAGUUGCUCAUGACUGGGCAACUUCUAGCCACUUGCUAUUUGGAAAGGAUGAGGAUUUCCAGAGCAGAAGUCUCUCGCUCACACUAAUCCUAAACCUAAGAGGGCAGAAUCCACCCUUUCUCCCAUUUGGCUAAAAUGACUGAUUAUGUACUGUCCGUAGACUACAGGCUAUGAUAUACUACCUGUAGACUAAUUCCUAGCUUUGAAAACAUCAUUCAAAUGAAUUACCCUCUAAGUUCACUAUUCACCCGAGUUUGAGUGUCAAGUGUCUUGUGUGAGCCUGUAAGAUGCUGACAAGUAUGAUUCCAUUUUAGAGAUUGUGACUUUAUAAAGGCUUGUGGAUAUGACUAAUAGAGAACUGUUGCACAUCUUAGGACAAGAUUUUAAUAGCCCCUAAUGCUGCAUCUGAUCUGUCUUGUGAUCACUAUUUUUAAGAGUGAUUGGAUAGACAAACCCUGUGUUGCCCUCAUGCUUCCCUUUGGGGUUUAAUAGUCAGUAGAUAUUACCCCAGAUGUAAUUUGUUGAAUUAUGAUGUAGGGUUGGAUGUCUUCAACUGAUUUUUUCCCUGCUUUCUUCCCACUACCAUUUAAGAACUGUACAGAAAUUUCUCCAAGCACGCUUUGUUACCGUCAGCCACAAAGUACUGGGCCUAAAUGAACCUUUCAUUAGGCCUAUCACAGCAUUACAUAUGGUCUCAGUGAUGAAUCCUCGGGUUUGAGUGCUGGAUCAGGCAAGGUUAUCAAUAACAAUCACAGUGAAUACCUUGCAGUCAAGCAUGCUCACAACAAAUUCCUGCUGGCUAACCCCAAGAACUUUCUCUGACUGUAUUGAUAACUUGAUCGUUGGAGUUUCACAGUGGUCAAUACCAACUUCCACGCAGCUCGGUGAGGAUUGGCCCCGACGCCGUUAUCCUUAGGACUCUACCUGCUCCUCUGAAUGCCUCAGCCACCAUUAGCUCCAUGGAUUUUUUUGGCUAAAAGGGGCAUGAACCUGGUGGCAUCCUGAAAGAAGCCUAACUGAAGUAGCACCUGCUUCUGGGGUGGAGUUGAAGUGGUUCGGAAGAAUCUGCUGCAGUUUUUUAUAUCAUCAGCAGUUGGCAUAUGAUUCUUCACAUAUGUAAUUCUGCUCAAUGUAGUGAGUGCAUUUCUCCUCUCCAACUGGAUACCUGUGCCUACUAACUUUAAAUAAUUUUUAGACUGGUGCAGUUUUUCAUGUGUGGUACACCACCUGGAAAAAGAUGUUAAAGUGACACCAUCACUUGGAAGCAGGAAAGGUAACCUUACAAAAAGGCACUCUGGGGAUUUAUCCAAAGGCCAUUUAGUUUGGGUAAAUAGUAAUUUCAAGGAAUUCUCUUUUCUGAUGGCCUCAUUUGUCUCAUCCAAAAAGCCUCCUACGUACUGUGUCUGACAGCCAAUUCCACCUAACCAAAGUCAUAUUUUAUCUGAAAAAUCUGAUGUUUGGUGCAGCUCACCAAACUGCUCCCAUAAACCAACAUUUAUCCCAUAAAUAUUUUCUAAAGUCAGUUACUAUCCAUUUCUUCCCAAACAGACCUAUUUACUCUUGCCAAACUAUUGUGUGACCACAUGACCAACAUCUGUGCUUUUGGGGAGCCAGUCUAAGCCAUCUUACUGUAACUUGCUUUGCUUUCCUCACUCAGGUUCAUAAUAAUGGGUUGCUCUUAGAGUUAGGUUUGGCUGCCUGAAGGACUGUGGGUUGGUUCGACCCCUUCUACACAACACAACCGUUUGAAAGUCUCAUGGUGUGGCACCCAGUUGAUGAAAGGCCUGAAAAAGAAGAAAGUUAAAGAAGGUCUCCUUCAGAGGCUGGGUGGGGAAGACUGAACCAUGUAGCCCCAAGCUGCCAAAUCACCAGUCCUCUGAGUUUACAGAGGAAGCCCCAACCUUCCACCUUCUGCUAGGAAGAAGAUCCACCCUUUCUUGAGUGGAGGGUGGGAUGAAACUGCCUGUCACAGCACAUAGCAUUUUGGAAAUGUGAGUUUUGAUAAGGAUGUCUCUUCCUGGAGCAGUGAAGUGGCCAGUGACGUUCCUUCUUUCUCCAAGCAGUAAUGACGGUUCAUUUUUUUGUCACCAGGGAAUUGCCAACGUUAACGUAUUUUAACUUUUUUUGAGCUUUGUGUUUUCCCUCCCCAUUUUAGAGUGUGAGCCCCCCUGUAGGCAGGGACUGUGCCUUAAUGUCCAUGUAUUUUUCUAGUAUUUUUAGUACAGUGCCUUGCACACGAUAUGGAUUUAAAAUGUGAUUGUGAUUGAUUCCUGAUACUCUAGAUCAUUAUUAAUGAUUACUAAUGUAUGUCAAGCAACCUAGAAAAUAAGUACAAGCUAGUAGCAACAUGAUCUGAUUUGUUUUAUUUACUUAUUGGGUGAUUUUAAAUAACUGGAUUUAAGAAGAAAA